RNAcentral lists this ribosomal RNA (460 nucleotides) under uncultured bacterium. RNAcentral's name for it is "partial 16S ribosomal RNA". It matches the Rfam family "Bacterial small subunit ribosomal RNA", at positions 338 to 795 of the family's 1533-position model. The record is from RNAcentral.
CCUACGGGGGGCAGCAGUGAGGAAUAUUGGUCAAUGGGCGAGAGCCUGAACCAGCCAAGUCGCGUGAAGGAUGACGGCCCUACGGGUUGUAAACUUCUUUUGUCAGGGAGCAAUUGAGUCCACGUGUGGUCUUAGCGAGAGUACCUGAAGAAAAAGCAUCGCCUAACUCCGUCCAAGCAGCCGCGGUAAUACGGAGGAUGCGAGCGUGAUCCGGAUUUAAUGGGUUAAAGGGGUGCGUAGGCGGAAGAUCAAGUCAGCGGUAAAAAUUCGGGGCUCAACCCCGUCGUGCCGUUGAAACUGAUGGUCUUGAGUGGGCGAGAAGUAGGCAGAAUGCGUGGUGUAGCGGUGAAAUGCAUAGAUAUCACGCAGAAUUCCGAUUGCGAAGGCAGCAUACCGGCGCCCAACUGACGCUGAAGUACGAAAGCGUGGGUAUCGAACAGGAUUAGAUACCCUGGUAGUC